This 110-nucleotide ribosomal RNA is filed under the name Gemmata sp. Lineage: Bacteria; Pseudomonadati; Planctomycetota; Planctomycetia; Gemmatales; Gemmataceae. The record is from RNAcentral. RNAcentral also lists the same sequence under 4 other names.
GCCGGUGACCAUACCCUAGCGGAAACACCCGUUCCCAUUCCGAACACGGCCGUGAAACGCUUAGGGGCCGAUGGUAGUCCGUCCAGGGCGAGAGUAGGUCAUUGCCGGCA